Molecule: long non-coding RNA, 278 nt
Filed under: Citrus sinensis (sweet orange)
Lineage: Eukaryota; Viridiplantae; Streptophyta; Magnoliopsida; Sapindales; Rutaceae
Description: long non-coding RNA (CSIN_LNC005233)
Source: RNAcentral
AUGCUCAUAAUGGAUUAAUUCCUUCUUUUAUUAAAAUAUAGCAUCGAUUUCUCCAAUUGAUGGUUAUUGCAAAAGUAUUGAUAUGACAUAACAGAAAUAACCAUUUAACAAAUUCACGGGGAUCGUGGAUGGCCAUUGUCAAGAUCUCCACGAAAUAAGAGGUAGUGAUCAUUAUAAUGAUCGUUAUACUCCUUGAUCGCACAUUCUUCACUUGUAAGUCCCGAGCAAUCGUCAUUUUUCACCCAUAAUGUAGCUUUGUCCUCCUUGUCAAAAUUUUG